Molecule: ribosomal RNA, 332 nt
Filed under: uncultured bacterium
Lineage: Bacteria
Description: bacterial SSU rRNA
Rfam family: Bacterial small subunit ribosomal RNA
Source: RNAcentral
CGCGUAGGCGGCUCGUUAAGUGGCUGGUGAAAUCCCGGGGCUCAACUCCGGGGCUGCCGGUCAGACUGGCGGGCUCGAGCACGGUAGAGGCGGAUGGAAUUCCCGGUGUAGCGGUGGAAUGCGUAGAGAUCGGGAAGAAUACCGGUGGCGAAGGCGUUCCGCUGGGCCGUUGCUGACGCUGAGGCGCGACAGCGUGGGGAGCAAACAGGAUUAGAUACCCUGGUAGUCCACGCCGCAAACGAUGGGCACUAGGCGUCGGGGGGAGCGACCCUCCCGGUGCCGUCGCUAACGCAGUAAGUGCCCCGCCUGGGGAGUACGGCCGCAAGGCUGAA